This is a non-coding RNA of Desmophyllum pertusum, 104 nucleotides long. The record is from the annotation of a GenBank genome assembly. Lineage: Eukaryota; Metazoa; Cnidaria; Anthozoa; Scleractinia; Caryophylliidae.
GGCAGCAUGGCCGAGUGGUCAGGGCGUCGGACUUGUAAUCCGGAGGUUUUAAUUAAUUAAAUUAAUAAUUAAUUAGUCCCGGGUUCAAGUCCUCCAUCCUGCCA